GGUUGACCUCGGAUCAGGUAGGGAUACCCGCUGAACUUAAGCAUAUCAAUAAGCGGAGGAAAAGAAACCAACAGGGAUUGCCUCAGUAACGGCGAGUGAAGCGGCAAGAGCUCAAAUUUGAAAUCUGGCCCCUCCGGGGUCCGAGUUGUAAUUUGUAGAGGAUGCUUCGGGUGCGGCCCCCGUCUAAGUGCUCUGGAACGGGCCAUCGGAGAGGGUGAGAAUCCCGUCUGGGACGGGGUGUCCGCGUCCAUGUGAAGCUCCUUCGACGAGUCGAGUUGUUUGGGAAUGCAGCUCUAAAUGGGUGGUAAAUUUCAUCUAAAGCUAAAUACUGGCCGGAGACCGAUAGCGCACAAGUAGAGUGAUCGAAAGAUGAAAAGCACUUUGAAAAGAGAGUUAAACAGCACGUGAAAUUGUUGAAAGGGAAGCGCUUGCGACCAGACUCGCUUCCGGGGUUCAGCCGGCUUUCGGGCCGGUGUACUUCCCCGGGGGCGGGCCAGCGUCGGUUUGGGCGGCCGGUCAAAGGCCCCUGGAAUGUAACGCCCCUCGGGGCGCCUUAUAGCCAGGGGUGUCAUGCGGCCAGCCUGGACCGAGGAACGCGCUUCGGCACGGACGCUGGCAUAAUGGUCGCAAACGACC
This 636-nucleotide ribosomal RNA is filed under the name Aspergillus neocarnoyi. RNAcentral's name for it is "eukaryotic LSU rRNA". It matches the Rfam family "Eukaryotic large subunit ribosomal RNA", at positions 1 to 649 of the family's 3401-position model. The record is from RNAcentral. RNAcentral also lists the same sequence under 1 other name. Lineage: Eukaryota; Fungi; Ascomycota; Eurotiomycetes; Eurotiales; Aspergillaceae.